Molecule: long non-coding RNA, 291 nt
Filed under: Elaeis guineensis (African oil palm)
Lineage: Eukaryota; Viridiplantae; Streptophyta; Magnoliopsida; Arecales; Arecaceae
Description: long non-coding RNA (EGUI_LNC025654)
Source: RNAcentral
CAUGAAGUUGUUUAGUAUAGUAUUGGUGCUAGCAGUCGAUUUUGUUAGGAUUUCUAGACUCUUUUCUACAAGUUAAGCCUUUGAUCAUUAUCAAAAUCUGAUGGGUUAUUUGAUGAUUGAGUGAAUCUAUGGUUGGACUAAGUGAAGGCAUGUCUAUUUGAGUUUGACCCUUGUGACCAAAAAAAAAUUAGGGUGAUUCCUCCAUCUGGAUUGUACGUUGGUGCGUAGGGGUCAUUUGUGGGUCUUUGAUAGACUUUGCUCACUUGUGCUACUUCGUUCUCGAUUGGACCC